RNAcentral lists this ribosomal RNA (253 nucleotides) under uncultured bacterium. RNAcentral's name for it is "partial 16S ribosomal RNA". It matches the Rfam family "Bacterial small subunit ribosomal RNA", at positions 524 to 776 of the family's 1533-position model. The record is from RNAcentral.
UACGGAGGGAGCUAGCGUUGUUCGGAAUUACUGGGCGUAAAGCGCACGUAGGCGGCGAUUCAAGUCAGAGGUGAAAGCCCGGGGCUCAACCCCGGAACUGCCUUUGAAACUAGAUUGCUAGAAUCCUGGAGAGGUGAGUGGAAUUCCGAGUGUAGAGGUGAAAUUCGUAGAUAUUCGGAAGAACACCAGUGGCGAAGGCGACUCACUGGACAGGUAUCGACGCUGAGGUGCGAAAGCGUGGGGAGCAAACAGG